Long non-coding RNA from Solea senegalensis (Senegalese sole), 187 nucleotides. RefSeq lists it as uncharacterized. The record is from RefSeq and is a predicted model, not a curated record. NCBI's taxonomy places the organism in Eukaryota, Metazoa, Chordata, Actinopteri, Pleuronectiformes, Soleidae. The transcript is spliced from 3 exons.
GCUGUCUCUCCAGUUUGCGGUGGUGAAUGCUGGUAGCGGCGUGCGUCUCGCUCUCUCCCCCUAUGGUUGUGCGGGCAUCAUACUCGGCAACAAGUGCCAAGGCUGGUGGUGGUGCUGGUGACCUGGGUGGAGGUGUCCGUUUUCUUUGCGUGCUGUAUCCCCUGGGAUUGGGGUAUUCACUGUGUGU